Molecule: ribosomal RNA, 229 nt
Filed under: uncultured bacterium
Lineage: Bacteria
Description: partial 16S ribosomal RNA
Rfam family: Bacterial small subunit ribosomal RNA
Source: RNAcentral
UGCGUAGACGGGCUAAUAAGUCAGUGGUGAAAUCUCUCGGCUCAACCGGGAAACUGCCAUUGAUACUGUUAGUCUUGAGUUCGGUUGAGGUAGGCGGAAUGUGUAAUGUAGCGGUGAAAUGCUUAGAUAUUACACAGAACACCAAUUGCGUAGGCAGCUUACUAGACCGACACUGACGCUGAGGCACGAAAGCGUGGGUAGCGAACAGGAUUAGAUACCCUGGUAGUCC